RNAcentral lists this ribosomal RNA (465 nucleotides) under Vreelandella stevensii. Its description in RNAcentral is "partial 16S ribosomal RNA". It matches the Rfam family "Bacterial small subunit ribosomal RNA", at positions 338 to 795 of the family's 1533-position model. Lineage: Bacteria; Pseudomonadati; Pseudomonadota; Gammaproteobacteria; Oceanospirillales; Halomonadaceae. The record is from RNAcentral.
CCUACGGGGGGCAGCAGUGGGGAAUAUUGGACAAUGGGGGGAACCCUGAUCCAGCCAUGCCGCGUGUGUGAAGAAGGCCCUCGGGUUGUAAAGCACUUUCAGUGAGGAAGAACGCCUGGUGGUUAAUACCCAUCAGGAAAGACAGCACUCACAGAAGAAGCACCGGCUAACUCCGUGCCAGCAGCCGCGGUAAUACGGAGGGUGCGAGCGUUAAUCGGAAUUACUGGGCGUAAAGCGCGCGUAGGUGGCUUGAUAAGCCGGUUGUGAAAGCCCCGGGCUCAACCUGGGAACGGCAUCCGGAACUGUCAAGCUGGAGUGCAGGAGAGGAAGGUAGAAUUCCCGGUGUAGCGGUGAAAUGCGUAGAGAUCGGGAGGAAUACCAGUGGCGAAGGCGGCCUUCUGGACUGACACUGACACUGAGGUGCGAAAGCGUGGGUAGCAAACAGGAUUAGAUACCCGUGUAGUC